This 468-nucleotide ribosomal RNA is filed under the name uncultured bacterium. Its description in RNAcentral is "partial 16S ribosomal RNA". It matches the Rfam family "Bacterial small subunit ribosomal RNA", at positions 28 to 507 of the family's 1533-position model. The record is from RNAcentral.
GACGAACGCUGGCGGCGUGCUUAACACAUGCAAGUCGAACGGAAAGGCCCUGCUUUUGUGGGGUGCUCGAGUGGCGAACGGGUGAGUAACACGUGAGUAACCUGCCCUUGACUUUGGGAUAACUUCAGGAAACUGGGGCUAAUACCGGAUAGGAGCUCCUGCUGCAUGGUGGGGGUUGGAAAGUUUCGGCGGUUGGGGAUGGACUCGCGGCUUAUCAGCUUGUUGGUGGGGUAGUGGCUUACCAAGGCUUUGACGGGUAGCCGGCCUGAGAGGGGGACCGGCCAAAUUGGGACUGAGAUACGGCCCAGCCUCCUCCGGGAGGCAGCGGUGGGGAAUAUUGCACAAGGGGCGGAGGCCUGAGCCAGCAACGCCGGGGGCGGGAUGACGGCCUUCGGGUGGUAACCCGCUUCCGCCUGUGACGAAGCGUGAGUGACGGUAAUGGGUAAAGAAGCACCGGCUAACUACGUG